This 322-nucleotide ribosomal RNA is filed under the name uncultured eukaryote. RNAcentral describes it as "partial 18S ribosomal RNA". It matches the Rfam family "Eukaryotic small subunit ribosomal RNA", at positions 1470 to 1796 of the family's 1831-position model. The record is from RNAcentral.
CCCUUAGAUGUCCGGGGCUGCACGCGCGCCACACUGAGUGGAUCAGCGGGUCAGGUUGCGCGAAAGCGUUUCCUAAUCUUUAAAUCCGCUCGUGAUGGGGAUUGACGGUUGCAAUUUUCUGUCAUGAACGAGGAAUACCUUGUAAGCGCGGGUCAUCAUCCCGCGCUGAAUACGUCCCUGCCCUUUGUACACACCGCCCGUCGCUCCUACCGAUUGAGUGGUCCGGUGAGGCUUUGGGAUCUGAGCGGAAAGAGCGUUUCGCUGUUUCUGCUCGGAAAACUCAGUCGAACCUUAUCAUUUAGAGGAAGGAGAAGUCGUAACA